RNAcentral lists this ribosomal RNA (416 nucleotides) under uncultured microorganism. Its description in RNAcentral is "bacterial SSU rRNA". It matches the Rfam family "Bacterial small subunit ribosomal RNA", at positions 9 to 424 of the family's 1533-position model. The record is from RNAcentral.
GAGUUUGAUCGUGGCUCAGAUUGAACGCUGGCGGCAUGCCUUACACAUGCAAGUCGAACGGCAGCAUGAUCUAGCUUGCUAGAUUGAUGGCGAGUGGCGAACGGGUGAGUAAUACAUCGGAACGUGCCCUGUAGUGGGGGAUAACUAGUCGAAAGAUUAGCUAAUACCGCAUACGACCUGAGGGUGAAAGUGGGGGACCGCAAGGCCUCAUGCUAUAGGAGCGGCCGAUGUCUGAUUAGCUAGUUGGUGGGGUAAAGGCCCACCAAGGCGACGAUCAGUAGCUGGUCUGAGAGGACGAUCAGCCACACUGGGACUGAGACACGGCCCAGACUCCUACGGGAGGCAGCAGUGGGGAAUUUGGACAAUGGGCGAAAGCCUGAUCCAGCAGUGCCGCGUGUGUGAAGAAGGCCUCGGUU